Molecule: unclassified non-coding RNA, 546 nt
Filed under: Hevea brasiliensis (rubber tree)
Lineage: Eukaryota; Viridiplantae; Streptophyta; Magnoliopsida; Malpighiales; Euphorbiaceae
Source: RNAcentral
UUGGAUCUUGCAUACUCUAUGUGCAUGCCACCCCGAUCAGAAGAUGGUAGAGUGCUUCCUUGAAGUUCAUUCAGUGCUUUAGUUGCUUGCUCAACGCCCUCAAAAUCAGCAAAAGCAACAGGCAUCCCGCCUCUUGCACGCACCUUGAGGGUGUUAAAUCCAGAAUACUGAGAAACAACUUGCUUCAAUUCAUCCUCGGUGCAAUUUGGACCAAGAUUGGCGAUGAACAGAGUGGAACAUGGUUGUGCUCCAUCUGUUGUCUUCUCGUUUUGUUCACUUUUUGGGGCCAAAGCAUGGUCAGGCUCCACUACUUUCUCCUCACGUUUCUCUUCUGAAGAAUCAUCCUUUGUCCCAGAAUCAGGAUUCUCGGGCUCGGAAGCAUCAUCAGAAUCAUUAUCACCUUCAUUGCUUGAUGUGCCUCCUUCGGCAUCUUCAUUGAACUUGUUUCUGUUGUCAAUCACUACAUAAGGUCCUCUUCCUGGAAUUUGUAUUCUUCUAGAGUUUGAUCUUGCCGGUUCAAUGUGCAAAGUGGAUCCAGUUUGAGGA